CUGUGUAUCACAUAGGGAACUCAUAUAGCCCUGCGGGCAUGGCGCAGGGCGUUUCUACGGGGCCGCCCACGGCCCUGCUAUGGGUGCUCCGCCGGAAAGC
This 100-nucleotide non-coding RNA is filed under the name Oscillibacter sp. RNAcentral's name for it is "Guanine sequence". It matches the Rfam family "Purine riboswitch aptamer". Rfam says of the family: Riboswitches are metabolite binding domains within certain messenger RNAs that serve as precision sensors for their corresponding targets. Allosteric rearrangement of mRNA structure is mediated by ligand binding, and this results in modulation of gene expression. A class of riboswitches that selectively recognises guanine and becomes saturated at concentrations as low as 5 nM. Lineage: Bacteria; Bacillati; Bacillota; Clostridia; Eubacteriales; Oscillospiraceae. The record is from RNAcentral.